RNAcentral lists this ribosomal RNA (429 nucleotides) under Chloroflexota bacterium. RNAcentral describes it as "Chloroflexi bacterium partial 16S ribosomal RNA". It matches the Rfam family "Bacterial small subunit ribosomal RNA", at positions 355 to 776 of the family's 1533-position model. Lineage: Bacteria; Bacillati; Chloroflexota. The record is from RNAcentral.
UGGGGAAUAUUGCACAAUGGGCGCAAGCCUGAUGCAGCCAUGCCGCGUGUGUGAAGAAGGCCUUCGGGUUGUAAAGCACUUUCAGCGGGGAGGAAGGCGGUGAGGUUAAUAACCUCAUCGAUUGACGUUACCCGCAGAAGAAGCACCGGCUAACUCCGUGCCAGCAGCCGCGGUAAUACGGAGGGUGCAAGCGUUAAUCGGAAUUACUGGGCGUAAAGCGCACGCAGGCGGUCUGUCAAGUCGGAUGUGAAAUCCCCGGGCUCAACCUGGGAACUGCAUUCGAAACUGGCAGGCUAGAGUCUUGUAGAGGGGGGUAGAAUUCCAGGUGUAGCGGUGAAAUGCGUAGAGAUCGGGAGGAAUACCGGUGGCGAAGGCGGCCCCCUGGACAAAGACUGACGCUCAGGUGCGAAAGCGUGGGGAGCAAACAGG